This 284-nucleotide unclassified non-coding RNA is filed under the name plant metagenome. Its description in RNAcentral is "partial contains small subunit ribosomal RNA, internal transcribed spacer 1, and 5.8S ribosomal RNA". The stretch from base 1 to 53 matches the Rfam family "Eukaryotic small subunit ribosomal RNA", at positions 1778 to 1831 of the family's 1831-position model. The record is from RNAcentral.
GGAAGUAAAAGUCUAACAAGGUUUCCGUAGGUGAACCUGCGGAAGGAUCAUUAUUGUAUAACCGAGGUGCGAGGGCUGUCGCUGACCCGAAAGGUCGUGCACGCCCGAGUGCCCUCACACACAUCCAUCUCACCCCUAUGUGCACCACCGCGUGGGUCCCCCUUUGGCUUGUUCGGAGGGGGGCUUACGUUUUCACACAAACUUUGUAUGCAGUGUAGAAUGUACUUUUUGUUUUUGCGAUCACGCAAUCAAUACAACUUUCAACAACGGAUCUCUUGGCUCUC